Molecule: ribosomal RNA, 678 nt
Filed under: Galdieria maxima
Lineage: Eukaryota; Rhodophyta; Bangiophyceae; Galdieriales; Galdieriaceae
Description: partial 18S rRNA
Rfam family: Eukaryotic small subunit ribosomal RNA
Source: RNAcentral
UNUUCNAAANGGGNAANUNUUGGANUUUUGGAAAACNNACGGANNCNAAANNGNUUGGCAAGGAUAUACCCAUUGAUCAAGGACGAAAGUUAGGGGAUCGAAGACGAUUAGAUACCGUCGUAGUCUUAACCAUAAACGUUGCCAUCUAAAAGAUGGUGUACUGUAAAUUNAAAGUACAUCCUUUUUUUCCGGGAAACCAAAGUUUUUGGGUUCUGGGGGGAGUAUGGUCGCAAGAUUGAAACUUAAAGGAAUUGACGGAAGGGCACCACCAGGAGUGGAGCCUGCGGCUUAAUUUGACUCAACACGGGGCAACUUACCAGGUCCGGACAUUUUUAUGAUUGACAGAUUGAUAGCUCUUCUUUCGCAUGAAGGUUUGUGGUGCANCGCCGUUCUUAGUUGGUGGAGUGAUUUGUCUGGUUAAUUCCGUUAACGAACGAGACCUUUUCCUGCUAACUAGUUUUUAUAUUUUUUUGAGUAGCAAUGUGAAACUUCUUAGAGGUACUAUUCGUUUAUUUCACGGAUGGAAGCUUUAGGCAAUAACAGGUCUGUGAUGCCCUUUGAUGUCCUGGGCUGCACGCGGGCUACACUGAUGCAGUCAACAAGUGAGAGUACCUUUUCUGACAAGAGGAUGGUAAUCUUUGAACCUGCAUCGUGNGUGGGAUUGAAAACUGCAACUGG